This 491-nucleotide ribosomal RNA is filed under the name uncultured bacterium. RNAcentral's name for it is "partial 16S ribosomal RNA". It matches the Rfam family "Bacterial small subunit ribosomal RNA", at positions 29 to 507 of the family's 1533-position model. The record is from RNAcentral.
GUGAACGCUGGCGGUAGGCCUAACACAUGCAAGUCGCACGGCAGCACAGUAAGAGCUUGCUCUUACGGGUGGCGAGUGGCGGACGGGUGAGGAAUACAUCGGAAUCUACUUUUUCGUGGGGGAUAACGUAGGGAAACUUACGCUAAUACCGCAUACGACCUACGGGUGAAAGCAGGGGAUCUUCGGACCUUGCGCGAUUGAAUGAGCCGAUGUCGUAUUAGCUAGUUGGCGGGGUAAAGGCCCACCAAGGCGACGAUCCGUAGCUGGUCUGAGAGGAUGAUCAGCCACACUGGAACUGAGACACGGUCCAGACUCCUACGGGAGGCAGCAGUGGGGAAUAUUGGACAAUGGGCGCAAGCCUGAUCCAGCCAUACCGCGUGGGUGAAGAAGGCCUUCGGGUUGUAAAGCCCUUUUGUUGGGAAAGAAAAGCAGCAGGUUAAUACCCCGCUGUUCUGACGGUACCCAAAGAAUAAGCACCGGCUAACUUCGUG